RNAcentral lists this unclassified non-coding RNA (4967 nucleotides) under Pomacea canaliculata. Its description in RNAcentral is "uncharacterized LOC112568397, transcript variant X7". The record is from RNAcentral. Lineage: Eukaryota; Metazoa; Mollusca; Gastropoda; Architaenioglossa; Ampullariidae.
AAGCGCCAUGUUACAGUGGUUUCCCGGUUAUUAGACUCAACAUGGAUUUGUACUCAAACAACUGAAAAUAAACAAACACUGUGCACCUAUGAUGCAGCUAUUUACUAAUCAACGAACGCUUGCAGGUACAGUAAAUCAAACACAUCAGGAGGAAAUAACCAUAAAAGAGAAGACACAAGCCAACUUUAGCUAUCAACUAAGAGAACAAACAGACGAGACUUCAAAGGAAUCGGCUUUUAUAAUUGAAAUUAAGUUGUGUGAAGAUGGGACCUAUCAUGAUGCCUGCCGGUGUCGAUGGACAUCUGACAAUAAAGCCGCGUGCAACAAUCAAAGAAAUGUUUCUGUUUGUGAGGCUGACCACUCCGAAAUGCGUUUCUCCCUUUUUGUCGAGCGGACCCACAGCGGUGUCUUGUGGGAACUCUACAGAAAACAAUCGACUCUUCUUGUGUUGAAAAACACAAAAUUACAAGUCACAUACCCGGCAAAAGUGACAGGGUUGCAGGUGAAUGGAAAAGAAGCUAACGAGACGCACAUUAUUGACGAAAAAAGAAAAGUGAGCAUCUCUUGUUCCUUCACCAACGGAAAUCCUCUGGUACCUGUUCACCUGUGGGACGACACGGGGCGCGGGCAGAGUUCCACGAGUCACGGGGAGGGUCCCCUCACUCUGUCUCUCGGAGUCUUUCACUGUCACGAGGUGUGGCCGACUGUCAGGUGCGAGGCGCGGGGAUCGGAGCUCAAUCGAUCUGUCACCCUCCUCGGUAGAUGUGUUCCUAAGCUUUCACACGUUCGUUCUCAGUUUUUAGAAUUAAGUAGGGUUCUAGAAAAAGGUUUGAAACUGAGACUGAGGUCAUACACAACAAAUAUCAGGAAAUGUUUGCUGACAAAGUUGCCCCCUGAGCCAAUCUCUGGGGAAGUGACGUGUGAAUUAAGCGGAAGUGUCCCGGAGUUGACCCUAACUCUGCACCUUGCUUCAACCUUGUGGAUUGGUGAAGGGAUUUGGACAUUACAUGCCUUAACAGAACUUGGCGAUUCAAAUAUCACUUUUGUGCUCAUCAAUGGCACUGUUGGUGAUCGAGGUCCUGCAAUAAUAAACGGCAAUAACAGGACAAUGACGGAUGUGACAGAAAAACAUCAGACGAUUACAAUAGCGUGAUAACUGAGCUCGCGUCAAGGAAUACGAUUGCUCUGAAAACGAGGUUUGUAAACACAUGGCUUGUGCAUGAGAGCUGUCGGCUUUUAUGCGAAAUCACGACACCGUUCAGGGGAUCACCUGGUGAGUACCGCUGUAUUCAAAAUGAUUAUUUAUUUCAAAAUAUACUGGAAUGUUGAUCUCAGAUAGCAGACGUUGAAAAUAGUGAGUGAUAGUAAGAUGUUUCUUUAAUUUACACAAUUUUUUUUUCUCUCAGCUUAGUGAGUAAAUGUACUUUAUACUUCUCGUCGCUAUAAUGACCCACAAUGGAACACUUGAUAUACCCGACACAACAUACAACUCAAAAUCAGCCACCAUUUUAUUAUUUUAGAUAAAUACGUUAAUAAAGAUACAGAGUAACCAUCUGAAGCUGUCAAGGUUAAGUAUAAUCCGUAAAUACCUUUAGAGAACUUUGCUAUUCUGUUGUUAGUAUCUACCUUGUUUUCCCUAGCAAGUAAGCCAGUUGUGUCUGGCCAGGUGUUCUCGCUGUCACACGGAUCUUUCCCGUGACUCUGUGACCCUGGCGCUUUCUUUGCCUUCUACAGUUUCAGCUCAUGAGUUUGUCAAGCAGUCUUUCUCUCUCCUUGUUUGUAUAUCUAAAUCAGGUUUUGCGUUUGCACGUCGAUAGCAAAAUAAACCUGCAGAGGUUUGACUUGUAGAUAGGCUUAUUCUGAAUAUUCUUAAUUAAUCUCUCCUUGAGAUGAUGUAAGCAUCUGCAGGUCUAAAUGGUAAAUCCUGGAAGGUAAAAAGUGAAACUAGGCUAUAAAGACAACUGUGGUCCAUAAUUUUCUUUAGUCUUCGGGAUAUUUUCCAUAAUAAACUAGGAACAUUUUGAAAUGGUUGCAUUUGUUCUGCUUUUAACAGGCAUUGGAUAAGGAAGUACUUUGUUUAAUCUGUCUACCUAGUCACUAAAUAAGACAGCGCCAUACUGUUUCCUAGUCCAAACUUUAUCUCUUCUCAUUUCCUAUUGUUUUGACUGGGUUCUCUCGUAUCUUCGAAUCACGAUUCUUUUUCUUAUUAUUUGUAAAGCGUAAUCAGCUAGUCUGCUAGUUCAUAAAGUUAGAACUUGAAGCGAGAUAAGUGAGUUUCUUUUUUAGUAGUUAUAAACGUUUAUCAUGUGCACAGGUUUAUCGGUAUCUAAAAUGGUGCAACAUCCUAUUUUCAUGUAAUGAUCUGAUAAAGAAAAGUUAGGUACGUAAAUGCAUUUUGACCAAUGAGCUUGCAAAAACCUAUGUAAGAGACAUUUUAUUAAUACUAUUUUUUUAUAUUUUAACUUAAGAAAUAUUUCAAGCAGCUUUCAUUAUCAUGAUGAGUAUUUUAUGGUAAGAAAUAUAUUUCCCUGUUAAUUACAGGCUUGAGAUGAAAGGAAUAACGAUAUGUCUACUCCUGUUCCUUGUUCGACAAGGUAACACAGCUACAGAAUGCAACACAAUAAAAGAAAGAGCAAUACAAUGCAAAUUUACGAAUGACAUCUCUUCUACUAAAACUAGCUUUGCAGUAUAUUUUCUAUCACAAGAUGGGAAAAAAGAGCUGCUGAUUGACUGUGUAUGGGUGGACGACAAGCUUGAGUGCAUCGAGCAGAUAGGUUUUGAGUGCCAGCAGCCGGUGUCAAACAUUGCUGAGAUCAGCGUGCCUCCACGAUUUACAAGCAAACCUGGAUCAUACUUAUGUCUACUUGAAGGUCACAUCACCCAAGACUCCAAACCCUGUCAUUUUUUCGAAAACCAGCAUAAGAACCAAACCGAAUUAGUUGAGGACAACGUAGACGUAAGCCACCCUGAUCAAAAAGAAAAAGGCAUUUCUACAACAACGAUUUUCGCCAUCUCUGGAACUCUGUUAGGAUGUGUUGCCAUUGGCAUUGUGACUGUGAUACUGGUUAGGCGAUGGAAGACGAAAAAUUAUUUAAAACAUGAACGUGAGAAAUCCUAUCAAUUCAGCAAAAUUGACAUUAUGGACAUGGAUUCACGGCUGGCAGACGAAAGAGGUCGUAUGCAUGCAAUGGACAGAACGUCAAGCCACUUUCUGUGAACUAUAAUAAAAAAACAACAGGCUAUGCUAGAGAAAAUUAUGAAUUAAAUAAUCAAAAACUUUCUUUAGAAUUAUAUCCUGCAAUAUUCCAGGUAACCUUUAUUACUUUUUAAAUGACUUUCUUUUCAAUUUUAUUUUAGUAAUGCAUUGUAAGCACAUUACUCCAUGUAACUGAAUCACAUUUGCAUAGUGAAAAAUAUUCAAUAUCUAAAAAUUUAGCUCUUUACUGGGUGAUAUUGGAAGUUCUCUCAAUCAUCUUUCUUCCGAACUAAGCUAGAAUAACUAGUAACAGACACAUAUAUAAUCACACAGAACUCAGCCAGCAUCUUAUGUGUGUGUGUGUCGAGUAGCAGAGGCUAUGCUCAGACAUAGCGUCUCGUGUGUGUGCAUAUAGAGUAGUAGAGGCUAUGGAGCUUUGACCUAGUCAGUCUCCUGUGUGUAUAUAGAGUAGUCGAGGCUAUGCUCAGACAUAGCAUCUCGUGUGUGUGUGUGUAUAGAGUAGUAGAGGCUAUGCUCCGACAUAGCAUCUCGUGUGUGUGUGUGUAGAGUAGUAGAGGCUAUGCUCCGACAUAGCAUCUCGUGUGUGUGUAUAUAGAGUAGUCGAGGCCCUUGAGCUUUGACCUAGUCAGUCUCCUGUGUGUAUAUAGAGUAGUCGAGGCUAAGCUCCGACAUAGCAUCUCGUGUGUGUGUAUAUAGAGUAGUCGAGGCCCUUGAGCUUUGACCUAGUCAGUCUCCUGUGUGUAUAGAGUAGUCGAGGCUAUGCUCCGACAUAGCAUCUCGUGUGUGUGUAUAUAGAGUAGUCGAGGCCCUUGAGCUUUGACCUAGUCAGUCUCCUGUGUGUAUAUAGAGUAGUCGAGGCUAAGCUCCGACAUAGCAUCUCGUGUGUGUGUGUAGAGUAGUAGAGGCUAUGCUCCGACAUAGCAUCUCGUGUGUAUGUAUAUAGAGUAGUCGAGGCCCUUGAGCUUUGACCUAGUUAGUCUCCUGUGUGUAUAGAGUAGUCGAGGCUAUGCUCCGACAUAGCAUCUCGUGUGUGUGUGUGUAGAGUAGUAGAGGCUAUGCUGAGACAUUGCAUCUCGUGUGUGUGUGUGUAGAGUAGUAGAGGCUAAGCUCCGACAUAGCAUCUCGUGUGUGUGUGUGUAUAUAGAGUAGUAGAGGCUAUGCUCCGACAUAGCGUCUCGUGUGGGUGUAUAGAGUAGCAUUGGCUACCCAGCUCAGACAUAGCGUAUUUUGUGUGUGUGUGUGUAGAGUAGCAAUGGCUACCAAUCUCCGUCUUAGUCAUCAUAUUGUUUAUGUGUGCGUACAGGGUUGUGGUUUCUACCAAGCCCUUCUAAGCGUAUUGUGUGUGUAAUGCGGAGGUUACCAAGCUCUGACUCAGCGACUGUUGUAUAUGUUAUAUAUAAAGUUUUGGAGUCUGCCGAGCUCCGACACAGUUUGUCUUGUGUAUGUCCCUAGUGGUCAGUGAAACACAUCUAUCACUAAGUUUCUUGUGUGUGUUCAAAGUUUUGGAGGCCAAAGAGCCCCAAUUCAAAAGGUGUAGGCACAAAAAGAGUCCUGACUCACCGUUUUGUGUGUGUUCGGAGUUGUGUUUCGCUUUUUUCCUCGUUUAGGUAGUAAGAACUGCUUCUAGAGUAGUUCUGAAGUUGUGCUGUUGAUGAUUAUUUGCUGUCAGCGUAUGCCGGUGAUUUGCAAGCUUGCAUACAAAAGAAUGCUGUUCUAUAUAGCUGUAAAUAAAAAUGCUUGUUCGAAAUAA